RNAcentral lists this ribosomal RNA (468 nucleotides) under uncultured bacterium. RNAcentral's name for it is "partial 16S ribosomal RNA". It matches the Rfam family "Bacterial small subunit ribosomal RNA", at positions 28 to 507 of the family's 1533-position model. The record is from RNAcentral.
GACGAACGCUGGCGGCGUGCUUAACACAUGCAAGUCGAACGGAAAGGCCCUGCUUUUGUGGGGUGCUCGAGUGGCGAACGGGUAAGUAACACGUGAGUAACCUGCCCUUGACGUUGGGAUAACUUCAGGAAACUGGGGCUAAUACCGGAUAGGAGCUCCUGCUGCAUGGUGGGGGUUGGAAAGUUUCGGCGGUUGGGGAUGGACUCGCGGCUUAUCAGCUUGUUGGUUGGGUAGUGGCUUACCAAGGCCUUGACGGGUAGCCGGCCUGAGAGGGUGACCGGCCAAAUUGGGACUGAGAUACGGCCCAGACUCCUACGGGAGGCAGCAGUGGGGAAUAUUGUACAAUGGGCGGAAGCCUGAUGCAGCAAAGCCGCGUGCGGGAUGACGGCAUUCGGGUUGUAUACCGCUUUCGCCUGUGACGAAGCGUGAGUGACGGUAAUGGGUAAAGAAGCACCGGCUAACUACGUG